GCCUGGGUGGCUCAGUCGGUUGAGCAUCUGACUUCGGCUCAGGUCAUGAUCUCACAGUCUGUGGGUUUGAGACCCGCGUCGGGCU
Molecule: transfer RNA, 85 nt
Filed under: Felis catus (domestic cat)
Lineage: Eukaryota; Metazoa; Chordata; Mammalia; Carnivora; Felidae
Rfam family: tRNA
About the family: Transfer RNA (tRNA) molecules are approximately 80 nucleotides in length. Their secondary structure includes four short double-helical elements and three loops (D, anti-codon, and T loops).
Source: Rfam by way of RNAcentral